AUUUUUUUCUUCUUCUUUUACGUUAAGCGACGUCGUAUCU
Molecule: small RNA, 40 nt
Filed under: Arabidopsis thaliana (thale cress)
Lineage: Eukaryota; Viridiplantae; Streptophyta; Magnoliopsida; Brassicales; Brassicaceae
Description: ATSL226950
Source: RNAcentral